RNAcentral lists this ribosomal RNA (305 nucleotides) under uncultured bacterium. Its description in RNAcentral is "bacterial SSU rRNA". It matches the Rfam family "Bacterial small subunit ribosomal RNA", at positions 335 to 654 of the family's 1533-position model. The record is from RNAcentral.
UGGCCUACGGGGCGCAGCAGUGGGGAAUAUUGCACAAUGGGGGAAACCCUGAUGCAGCGACGCCGCGUGAGCGAAGAAGUAUUUCGGUAUGUAAAGCUCUAUCAGCAGGGAAGAAAAAAAUGACGGUACCUGAGUAAGAAGCACCGGCUAAAUACGUGCCAGCAGCCGCGGUAAUACGUAGGUGGCAAGCGUUGUCCGGAUUUACUGGGUGUAAAGGGCGUGCAGCCGGGCUGACAAGUCAGAUGUGAAAUCCCGCGGCUCAACCGCGGAACUGCAUUUGAAACUGUCAGUCUUGAGUACCGUAG